This 254-nucleotide ribosomal RNA is filed under the name uncultured bacterium. Its description in RNAcentral is "partial small subunit ribosomal RNA". It matches the Rfam family "Bacterial small subunit ribosomal RNA", at positions 26 to 285 of the family's 1533-position model. The record is from RNAcentral.
AGAACGAACGCUGGCGGCGUGCUUAACACAUGCAAGUCGAGCGGAAAGGCCCUUCGGGGUACUCGAGCGGCGAACGGGUGAGUAACACGUGAGCAACCUGCCCUUAGCUUCGGGAUAGCUCCGGGAAACCGGAAUUAAUACCGAAUAUGACUGCGGCUGACAUCAGCCACGGUGGAAAGUUUUUCGGCUAGGGAUGGACUCGCGGCCUAUCAGCUAGUUGGUGAGGUAACGGCCCACCAAGGCGACGACGGGUA